This 477-nucleotide ribosomal RNA is filed under the name uncultured bacterium. RNAcentral describes it as "bacterial SSU rRNA". It matches the Rfam family "Bacterial small subunit ribosomal RNA", at positions 28 to 529 of the family's 1533-position model. The record is from RNAcentral.
GAUGAAUGCUGGCGGCGUGCCUAACACAUGCAAGUCGAGCGGCAGCGCGAGUAGUUUACUACUUGGCGGCGAGCGGCGGACGGCUGAGUAACGCGUGGGAACAUGCCCCAAAGUGAGGAAUAACUGCCCGAAAGGGUAGCUAAUGCCGCAUAUGAUCUUCGGAUUAAAGGAUUUAUCCGCUUUGGGAGUGGCCUGCGUACGAUUAGAUAGUUGGUGAGGUAAAGGCUCACCAAGUCUACGAUCGUUAACUGGUCUGAGAGGAUGAUCAGUCAGACUGGAACUGAGACACGGUCCAGACUCCUACGGGAGGCAGCAGUGAGGAAUCUUCCACAAUGGGCGAAAGCCUGAUGGAGCAACGCCGCGUGCAGGAUGAAGGCCUUCGGGUCGUAAACUGCUUUUAUAAGUGAAGAAUAUGACGGUAACUUAUGAAUAAGCACCGGCUAACUACGUGCCAGCAGCGCGGUAAUCAUACUCGUA